GCCAGUGUGGCAUAGUGGUUUGAGUAUUGAACUACAACUCAGGAGACCAGGGUUCAAAACCCUGCUUGGAA
Non-coding RNA from Phrynosoma platyrhinos (Desert horned lizard), 71 nucleotides. Lineage: Eukaryota; Metazoa; Chordata; Lepidosauria; Squamata; Phrynosomatidae. The record is from the annotation of a GenBank genome assembly.